This is a long non-coding RNA of Lagenorhynchus albirostris (white-beaked dolphin), 932 nucleotides long. RefSeq lists it as uncharacterized. Lineage: Eukaryota; Metazoa; Chordata; Mammalia; Artiodactyla; Delphinidae. The transcript has 2 exons. The record is from RefSeq and is a predicted model, not a curated record.
GAACAAACAGCCGCCGCGGCGGGAGCGCGGCUCGGGUGGCUCGAGGCGGGUCCUCCUUUCCCCGCAGAUCCCGCAAACCCUCCGCUCCCUGGGGCCGCUGCCUUCAGUGCGCUUAGCCCUGGAUGUUAAGGUUCACGCGGGCUCCAGCCGGAGGUGGGAGUAGUAGCGACAGUCCCCACCCAUCAUCUCCCCAAGGCAGCGCCCGGGCCACCAAGGCCGAAGCGCAGUUGGCGCGCCAGCGGAGCCUGAGACGCCCGGACCAACGCCGCCGGAGGGGGGCCCGAAGGAGCCCGAGCGGCUUCCGGCCCAAGGGCAGUCGCACUUGAGUGAUCGCGAGGAGCACACUUGGCGUUCUCAGCCUCGGGCCUCGGAGAGGCUCUACAGACAGGCAGCAGGACCCCCACCGAGACGUCCGUCAAUGAACCCUGACCUCAACCGCAAGCCAGUGUUGCCUUCAUCUCUCAGGAUCCUGUGCACACGGUGUUAGUCCUGUGCCCUUUUUCUCGCCAGCUGGGGUCCUGCCCAUAGUCCUCCUGCUCCCCUGGCCUCCCCCCAGGAACCCAGCAACCAGUAGCUCCAGCUCAGCCUGGGCCCAUCUCAACCUCUGGGGGUGACAGGGGAGAUGGGCGCUGGACGUGGUCAAGUACUGAGCCGAUGGACGGGCUGCUGCCCCGACAGCGCCCCGCCGUGGUCAAAGCUCGGGCAUGCGAGGCGCGAGACCCGGCUGCGCUCAGCUGUCACAGGCUGUAGGACAGUCAGCAACUUACUUCCCCCUCCCAGCCUCAGUUUCCUGCUCUGAAUAGAAGUUAAGAGCCCCUGGCGCCAGGCUGCUGGGAUCCCAGUCCUGGUUUCACUACUUACCUGUUCUGUAAUAUGUUGCUAUAAGUCUUUGUGUCUUUGUUUCUUCCUCUGUAAAAAUGAGGUUGAAAACA